Long non-coding RNA from Hippoglossus stenolepis (Pacific halibut), 309 nucleotides. RefSeq lists it as uncharacterized. Lineage: Eukaryota; Metazoa; Chordata; Actinopteri; Pleuronectiformes; Pleuronectidae. The transcript is spliced from 3 exons. The record is from RefSeq and is a predicted model, not a curated record.
GAGAAGCUCCGACAUGUAACGACAUCACUUGUGAAGUCGGAGAGAUGCAUCCUAGUCUCAGGGCAGAUGGAUUAUCACCAGGAAAUAAAACACUGAAGAUUGGACAUAAGUUAAAAUUUCACUGUGACGAUGAGUACAUUCUGGAAGGUUCUGGACAAACGAGUGUUUAGAGACUGGGCAGUGGAGCGCCCCCUUUCCAACUUGCUCUGACACAUGUAAAUUCACAGGAGCCCCAGUGAACAUGAACGUCCACGUCCACACUCCAGGCAAUCUACUAACACCAGGACAAAGUUGAUGUUUUCUUGCCGC